Molecule: unclassified non-coding RNA, 200 nt
Filed under: soil metagenome
Description: partial contains internal transcribed spacer 2 and large subunit ribosomal RNA
Source: RNAcentral
AUUUCAACCCUCAGGCCGUAUGGUCUGGUGCUGGGGCAUCUACGAGUUUGUAGGCCCUGAAAUAUAGUGGCGGGCUUGCGAAGACCCCGAGCGUAGUAAUUACACAAUCGCUUAGGGCGUCUAGCGGGCUUACUUGCCGUUAAACCCCCCAAAUUCUAAUGGUUGACCUCGGAUCAGGUAGGAAUACCCGCUGAACUUAA